UCCGGUUUGGCACCGGCAGUCCCCCCAGAGUCCUCGGCGUUACCCGGUAGCAACUGGGAGCGGGGGUUGCGCUCGUUGCGGGACUUAACCCAACAUCUCACGACACGAGCUGACGACAGCCAUGCAGCACCUGUGCACGAGUCCCGAAGGAGGGCCAUGGUUUCUCAUGGCUUUCCCGUGCAUGUCAAGCCCAGGUAAGGUUCUUCGCGUUGCGUCGAAUUAAACCACAUGCUCCACCGCUUGUGCGGGCCCCCGUCAAUUCCUUUGAGUUUCAGCCUUGCGGCCGUACUCCCCAGGCGGGGCACUUAAUGCGUUAGCGCCGGCACCCACGGGGUCGCUCCCCCAGGCACCUAGUGCCCAUCGUUUACGGCGUGGACUAC
This 380-nucleotide unclassified non-coding RNA is filed under the name uncultured Gemmatimonadaceae bacterium. RNAcentral describes it as "contains 16S-23S intergenic spacer region". Lineage: Bacteria; Pseudomonadati; Gemmatimonadota; Gemmatimonadia; Gemmatimonadales; Gemmatimonadaceae. The record is from RNAcentral.